UACGGAGGGUGCAAGCGUUGUUCGGAAUUACUGGGCGUAAAGCGCACGUAGGCGGAUUAGUAAGUCAGGGGUGAAAUCCCGGGGCUCAACCUCGGAACUGCCUUUGAUACUGCUGAUCUCGAGUCCGGAAGAGGUGAGUGGAAUUCCUAGUGUAGAGGUGAAAUUCGUAGAUAUUAGGAAGAACACCAGUGGCGAAGGCGGCUCACUGGUCCGGUACUGACGCUGAGGUGCGAAAGCGUGGGGAGCAAACAGG
RNAcentral lists this ribosomal RNA (253 nucleotides) under uncultured bacterium. RNAcentral describes it as "partial 16S ribosomal RNA". It matches the Rfam family "Bacterial small subunit ribosomal RNA", at positions 524 to 776 of the family's 1533-position model. The record is from RNAcentral.